CUAAAAUGGCUAGUUAAAUAGUUUUUUUAGUACAAUGUUUCUUUUUUAGUAAACUGUUUUGUCGUUAGUCUUUUUAGAAUAUUUUAAGCAAGUAUUGUUUUAUUUUUUAAAGCAGUUAAGAGGAGCUGAUGUCUUUUUUAGAAAAAUAAUUAUGAAUAGGAAAAUUAAAAAAAAUUCUUCUGGAAUUUGUCAAAGGAACGUUGUGUUAGGCUUCAUUUUAAGAUCUGGAUACAAACACAUUGAAAAUACAUGUUAAUGAAUAAAGAUAUAAACAAAAUACGCCUGUGAGUGAUAAAAGAAAUACAAACAGUCAUUGAGCCACCAGUUGAGCUAAAGGUGUAAAAAAAUGUUGAAAAAAGAGUUCUAAACUCAUACUUUGCCAGAUACUUGUUAUGUUUAUCACUUUUGUACAUGGUUGAAUCUCAUGAGAAGUAUGAACUUUAUUUUGACAAGUUGUUGCUGAAGUUAGUUGCUUAUAAAAAGGUAUCACUUUAAGUUGCUAAUCACAGAGUAUUCACAAUUUUUAACUACUAUUGUAAAAGUGAACAAGGAAAAAUUUCUUGGGUUCAAAAAGAAAGUGAUAGAUUGGAUUCUUUUUUGGUUCAAUAUACAGAUGCUUCAAGAUUUAAGGAUUUAAUGAAAAUUUACCAACUGCUACUAAUAUUGUCCCAUGGCCAAGCACAAGUAGAGCGUAGAUUUAGUAUAAAGACAAACUUCUGGAUAAUAAUAUGCUAACUGAUUCUCUUGUUGCACAGAGAACUGUACAUGACCACAUGUGCAGUGAAAGUAUAAAAUCAUCCCAAUUGGCUAUGAGAACUAAACCUAUGGGACAUGUUAAGGAUGCACGAAAACUAUACUUUAGCAGUCAGAAAGAGAUGUCCUUGAAUGCUUUAAAAACUGUUUAUCUAGAAAAAAAAUUUAAAGUGAAUGGAUUAUACUUGUUAAUAAAUAAGAUAAUAUAUAGAUUUUUGAUAGUUUUCAAACCUAUUUUUGUUAUUAUAUAUAUAUUAAAAAUGUUCUUGGUUUUUUACUUAUGUGUUUUAAGAUUCUUAAGAUCUAGGCAACUUAGUCAAGCAAGAUGUGUUUUAUUUUUUAGUGCAAUUGAAAAGCUGCUCAAUGAACAGCAAAAACUUGCCAGAAUUCAGUGUCAAGCGGUGUUAAUGUCUUUUAAUGUAUUUUAUAAUGAAUUUUACUAUUUAUAGUAACAAUUAUCAACAGUUUCAA
Molecule: long non-coding RNA, 1224 nt
Organism: Hydra vulgaris (swiftwater hydra)
Lineage: Eukaryota; Metazoa; Cnidaria; Hydrozoa; Anthoathecata; Hydridae
Source: RefSeq, a predicted model, not a curated record